This 485-nucleotide ribosomal RNA is filed under the name uncultured bacterium. RNAcentral's name for it is "bacterial SSU rRNA". It matches the Rfam family "Bacterial small subunit ribosomal RNA", at positions 29 to 507 of the family's 1533-position model. The record is from RNAcentral.
AUUGAACGCUAGCGGCAUGCCUUACACAUGCAAGUCGAACGGCAGCGCGGGGGCAACCCUGGUGGCGAGUGGCGAACGGGUGAGUAAUGCAUCGGAACGUGCCCAUCGAUGGGGGAUAACUGCGCGAAAGCGUUGCUAAUACCGCAUACGACCUACGGGUGAAAGCAGGGGACCGCAAGGCCUUGCGUCGAUGGAGCGGCCGAUGCCGGAUUAGCUAGUUGGUGAGGUAAAGGCUCACCAAGGCGACGAUCCCGUAGCUGGUCUGAGAGGACGACCAGCCACACUGGGACUGAGACACGGCCCAGACUCCUACGGGAGGCAGCAGUGGGGAAUCUUGGACAAUGGGCGAAAGCCUGAUCCAGCAAUGCCGCGUGUGGGAAGAAGGCCUUCGGGUUGUAAACCACUUUUGGCGGGAAAGAAAUGGUCUGUGCUAAUACCACGGAUUGAUGACGGUACCCGCAGAAUAAGCACCGGCUAACUACGUG